RNAcentral lists this ribosomal RNA (433 nucleotides) under uncultured bacterium. RNAcentral describes it as "partial 16S ribosomal RNA". It matches the Rfam family "Bacterial small subunit ribosomal RNA", at positions 29 to 507 of the family's 1533-position model. The record is from RNAcentral.
AACGAACGCUGGCGGCAUGCCUAACACAUGCAAGUCGAACGAGACCUUCGGGUCUAGUGGCGCACGGGUGCGUAACGCGUGGGAACCUGCCUUUAGGUUCGGAAUAACUCAGAGAAAUUUGAGCUAAUACCGGAUGAUGUCUUCGGACCAAAGAUUUAUCGCCUUUAGAUGGGCCCGCGUUGGAUUAGCUUGUUGGUGGGGUAAAGGCCUACCAAGGCGACGAUCCAUAGCUGGUCUGAGAGGAUGAUCAGCCACACUGGGACUGAGACACGGCCCAGACUCCUACGGGAGGCAGCAAUGGGGAAUAUUGGACAAUGGGCGAAAGCCUGAUCCAGCAAUGCCGCGUGAGUGAUGAAGGCCUUAGGGUUGUAAAGCUCUUUUACCCGAGAUGAUAAUGACAGUAUCGGGAGAAUAAGCACCGGCUAACUCCGUG